UGGGGAAUUUUGCGCAAUGGGCGAAAGCCUGACGCAGCAACGCCGCGUGAGUGAUGAAGGCUUUCGGGUCGUAAAGCUCUGUCAAGGGGAAAGAAAUGUAUUGUGGUUAAUACCCGCGAUACUUGACGGUACCCCUAAAGGAAGCACCGGCUAACUCCGUGCCAGCAGCCGCGGUAAUACGGGGGGUGCAAGCGUUGUUCGGAAUUAUUGGGCGUAAAGCGCGUGUAGGCGGUUUGUUAAGUCUGAUGUGAAAGCCCUGGGCUCAACCCAGGAAGUGCAUUGGAAACUGGCAGACUUGAAUACGGGAGAGGGUAGUGGAAUUCCUGGUGUAGGAGUGAAAUCCGUAGAUAUCAGGAGGAACACCGGUGGCGAAGGCGGCUACCUGGACCGAUAUUGACGCUGAGACGCGAAAGCGUGGGUAGCAAACA
Molecule: ribosomal RNA, 428 nt
Filed under: uncultured Geobacter sp.
Lineage: Bacteria; Pseudomonadati; Thermodesulfobacteriota; Desulfuromonadia; Geobacterales; Geobacteraceae
Description: bacterial SSU rRNA
Rfam family: Bacterial small subunit ribosomal RNA
Source: RNAcentral